UGGUUUUUCUUUUGAUUUUUGCUUGAUUUGGAUGAAAUUGUAACCAUUGUUUUUUUGGGUUGGUUCUGAUCCUGUGCUAGGUUUUCCUCGCUGAGAGGAUAUUUUUCAUUUUGGUUCCUUCGUUGAUUAGUCGCAAAUUUGGCAGUGUCUCUGGUGGUCCUCUUAUUUUUUGGGUAAAUCUCCUUCCGCCAAAAAUAAUUUCCUUGCUAUUGUUAGUACUUUGUUCUCCUUCUUCUUUUUUAUUAUUAUAUACCUUCUGUUUAUUUAACAUGUUUGUAAGAUUGGUUUAUCAUUUAUGCAUGUUUUUAUACAAUUGUUGCAUAUUUCAUUCAUAUUUUACAUAUGUAUAUGCUUCGCUUUUAUCAAGUACGUACUUGAGAGAUUGGUAGCUUGAUUUUUGGGUGAGUUUUUGUCAUCAUUUUUUUGUACAUCUGGGAACCCCGUUGAUAGGUGUUAGAUUAGAGUGUGUUUGUAAUUUUUUGGAACAAAUCAGAGGAAUGAUUGGAGUUUGGGUAAAUUUGAUGUUAGGUUAAAAUUUCUUUGUAAUUUUAGUCUGCUGUGCAUUACCCAUUCGGAAAUCACGCUUGAGCAGUGUGCACCAUUGUGCUAUUUGCAAAGUACCAAACUAGGGGAAGAAGAUCAUUAACACUUUGUUUAGACAGAACCGUUUGUUUUCGCCAAAAUCAAAAGGAAAUUUUUUUUUUAACCGAAUGGUGUGUUUUCUUUCUUCUUUGUCCAUUUUGCCUAAAACAUUUAACCAAAACAUGACAAUUUCACUGAAAAAAUCCCAUUUCCCUACUUUUAAAUGAAUUAAGCAUGUCAUUUUAACACCUCCUAUAAAAUAUUUAUGUAAACCAACUAAAAAUCCGACUUUUUUCCUACUUUUGAAUGAAUGAAGCAUGCAAUUUCAAUUUUGUCCAUGUGGUCUAAACUAUUGAAUCAAAACAUGACAAUUUCAUUGCAAAAACCCCAUUUUUCCAACUUUUGACUGAAUUUAUCAUAACAUUUUAAGGUUGGCAUAAAAGAUUAUACGAGGCAGCUAAAAAUCCUAUUGUUUUUCUGUUUAUUCAUUGAAUCGAACAUGUCAUUUCAAAUUAGUAGCUCAAUUUUCUUUCUGCUGUUACAAUUAGUGGCUUAAGUGCCCCAUUUUUUCCUACUUUUGAAUGAAUUGCGCAUAACUGUGAAUCGUUUCCUAACAAAUCUGUUGAGAUAUGUUAUUUUUGGUAGGAAAUUGUGGUUGCUGUUGUUAGAAAUAGAUUGAAUUUUUCUGUUUGGUUUUGAUUAUAGCUUAUGUCUUUGAACAAGCAUGCUUAUAAAGUUGCUGCAAAGUGUUUCCUCCCUUGCUUGACCUGGGAAUACAAUGUUUCCUCCCUUUAUUUCUCUGUUUUGUCUACUAUAUCCACCAGCCAUAAAGCACAAAAGUAGUUCUACUCAACACGCACACGCACACCCAUACACCUCCAUAACUGACCACCCGACCUCCAUUUCAGCUCAGCUCAGCUCAUAUUCCGACCGUCCAAAUCAACCACUUUUCCGACCCUUGAAUGUCUUAAGUUUAGAUUAGACUCUCAUCACAUCAUUAUAAUCUGCUCUUGCUGCUGCGUGCAUUUGAAUCAACACAUUGUUUAGAUUAGAGUCUCAUCACAUCAUUAUAAUUUGCUCUUGCUGCUUCGUGCAUUUGAAUCAACACUUUGGCUAAAUAAAAUGGUGUGCGAGAUUGAUCGAAGAGAGCAACAAAUUCUAGGAGUGUUA
Molecule: non-coding RNA, 1752 nt
Organism: Malus domestica (apple)
Lineage: Eukaryota; Viridiplantae; Streptophyta; Magnoliopsida; Rosales; Rosaceae
Source: RefSeq, a predicted model, not a curated record